UAGUAACGGCGAGUGAAGAGGGAUUAGCCCAGCACCGAAUUCUGCAGUCUUGCGCUGUUAGAAACUGUGGUGUUUAGGUCUGUUUCUGUGCCUUGUGCCCCAUCCUAAGUCCACUUGAUUGUGGCUCCUUAGCCCAUAGACGGUGUUAGGCCGGUAUGGUUGGGUGCGCUUGGUAUCUGAGCUGACCUUAGAGUCGGGUUGUUUGAGAAUGCAGCCCAAAGAGGGUGGUAUACUCCAUCCAAGGCUAAAUACUUGCACAAGUCCGAUAGCAAACAAGUACCGUGAGGGAAAGUUGAAAAGAACUUUGAAGAGAGAGUUCAAUAGUGCGUGAAGCCGCAUAAAGGUAAACGGGUAGAGCUGAAAUUGAUGGUGGGAACUCAGCUAGAUGAGAUGCUGGUGUGUUGGGCUGUAGAUUCACUCUGUGGACUGCAGUUCGCGUGUCCUGGUCUCUAUUUAGUGCACUUUCCCAUUGUCAGCACCACGACCAGUGGUAAUGUUGGUCUGUUGUUGGGUAGUGGUAGCGCAUCUUCGGGUGCGUGAUAACUCCUGACUCGGAGCUAGCAGGGCACUGGAGACGGCGAUGCAAGCACCUAGUGCACACAUGUUUCAUUGCGGUGAUUCUGCUGGUUAGAUUGCAACUCCCCAGGAGUUCUUUCCGAUUGGUGGCGCCGUUGAUGGGGCCUCUGUGAUUUGUGUCAACAGUCAGUGGUGUGGAUGUAGGUAGUCUACCCGACCCGUCUUGAAACACGGACCAAGAAGUCCGACAUGUACGCAAGUCAUUGGGCGUUACGAAACCCAUCGGCGAAAUGAAAGUAAAGGCUUGCAAUUGCGUAAGCUUAGGUGUGAUCCAGGUUCUACCUAGUAGACCCGGCGCAACACCGGCCCGUCCCAUGGUCUUUUGAUCGGGGCGGAGCUAGAGCGUACAUGUCGGGACCCGAAAGAUGGUGAACUAUGCUUGGGCAGGUCGAAGCCAGAGGAAACUCUGGUGGAGGACCGUAACGAUUCUGACGUGCAAAUCGAUCGUCAGACCUGAGUAUAGGGGCGAAAGACUAAUCGAACCAUCUAGUAGCUGGUUCCCUCCGAAGUUUCCCUCAGGAUAGCUGGCACUCGUGAGAGUUCUCAGUUCUACCCGGUAAAGCGAAUGAUUAGAGGUACCGGUGUCGAAAUGAUGUCGACCUAUUCUCAAACUUUAAAUGGGUAGGAGGUUCGACUCUCUUAGCUGGAGUUGGACUUUGAAUGAGAGUUGCCAAGUGGGCCAUUUUUGGUAAGCAGAACUGGCGCUGUGGGAUGAACCAAACGUCUGGUUAAGGUGCCUAACACAACGCUCAUGAGAUACCACAAAAGGUGUUGGUUGAUCCAGACAGCAGGACGGUGGCCAUGGAAGUUGGAAUCCGCUAAGGAGUGUGUAACAACUCACCUGCCGAAUCAACCAGCCCUGAAAAUGGAUGGCGCUGGAGCGUUGGACCUAUACCGGACCGUUACAGCAAAAAUUUGAGUGCAUGCUGUGACGAGUAGGAGGGCCGCCGUGGUGAGCGUUGAAGCUAUGGCCGUGAGGUCAGGUGGA
Molecule: ribosomal RNA, 1564 nt
Filed under: Kata sp. n. 1 FS-2014
Lineage: Eukaryota; Metazoa; Platyhelminthes; Proseriata; Otoplanidae
Description: eukaryotic LSU rRNA
Rfam family: Eukaryotic large subunit ribosomal RNA
Source: RNAcentral